This is a long non-coding RNA of Balaenoptera ricei (Rice's whale), 5110 nucleotides long. RefSeq lists it as uncharacterized. The transcript has 5 exons. The record is from RefSeq and is a predicted model, not a curated record. Lineage: Eukaryota; Metazoa; Chordata; Mammalia; Artiodactyla; Balaenopteridae.
CUCACCCCCCGGGCAGAACAGCGGCCGCAAGAGGCCCUAGGAGCCUCAUACAGGAAGGAAACGCCGCCUGGGAAAGAACUCUUCCGGGGGGAGUCGCGGCCCGCCCCCUCGCACGGAGCAUGCGCCACCGCGGCUGAGGUCUGGAGGGGCGCGUUUCCGGGUUUUGGAAGUGGUGUGGCGGUAUUCGGCGUUAGUGAGGUCACGCUCCAGAUUCCUAACCUGCUAUCUGCUGGGCGGAACCUCUGAGUUUAGCUGAGUCUCGGAGAUGGAAUUGGGGCAGGCGCUCGUCACAUAAAGUCCGUGCCCUGCUCGCGGGCUCCUGUCGCAACACUGACAAAUCCGGGAGGCUUCGUGAGAGUGAAAAAAUGAGAGAUGAGGCACCAGAGGUCCCCAGGGAGCAAAUCUGAAAGCCAGCGCCUCCUGAGCACAGGCUGCCAGGGGCGAGACGACAUUAGACAUUGUCCCCAGAUAUAAGAAGCAUCACUUCCUUCAGACAGAGCAGAUUGAUAGAUGAAGCAUAAAACAAGACCAGAUGCUGUGGUUUCCAGGAUGCACUUGGCUUCCCAUCCUUUAUAACCUGGAGCACUUUUUGCCGUCUGUGUCUGAUGUGUCCACCAGAGACCAGUCCCAUCAGGUAUCCAUAGGGUUUAAGAACAUGGACAUUGCAGCCCAAGAGACUUGGCUUUAGAUAUUGCCGAGUGACUUUUGCACAGAAGAAAGAAAUUAGUUCAACGGAUGAAAGUGAGAUGCUGAACCAGAUUUGAGAUUUUAGAGGUCAAUCCUUUGCAUGUCUUAUCAUUUCUUUGCAAACUAUAACCUUUUUGUUACCCUUGAGGACUAUCAUAACAUCAGAGCUGCUAUUCUUCAUACAAUAUUUAAUUCGUUUGAACAUAACAUGUUUUUAAAAAAAUAUUUACUAUGUGCAACUCAUGGAAAUGCUCCUAAAAUUGAGAGAGUUCUACUGAGCAAAAGAAAUGGAAUAUCCUGUUUAGAGACUGAGUGCAUGGCUUCCAAAGGCAAAGGCAAGGGCAAAACUUGCUAAUUUUAGAUGUUUAGGGAUGAAAUAUCUACUAGACCUUGUUUCAUCUUAGGCCCAACGGUAGCGUGCUAGCAAGCUAAUGUUAAAUUUGCCCUCCCCACAUGUUUAUUGCCAGUGUUUCUGGAAACAGAAAAACAAAACAAAGGGGUAAGGAAAAAAAACAGCAAAGUCUGUAUGUAACUUGAGUUAGAGAAGUGCAGGAAACAAAUCAAGUAUACUAAGUUAGCAGUGCUCAAAGUCCCAUUCAACUUCAGAAUAGUAUACCUGGUAGAGUUUCACAAACCUUUCUCCUUUCUAGCCUGCUGCUUAUUAAGUUGAAAUGCCAGAACCAUUCUGAGAGCUUUGAAUGCCCAUAUAAGGCCUGGAGCCAGAGACAUGCCCCACACCCAUUUCUUUAUAUUUUCUGAAUUCCCAAGUAAACGAGAGAUCAGAAAAAGGGACAGUAAAGGAAAGGAGACAAAGAGGUCGACUCCCCAACAGUGUUUUCUUGCCCUUUGGUGUUUUGCAAAAAGCUGAAGAGAUGCUAAUGAUUCUUUAACCAGCUGAAAGCAGCGUUAGAAUUCUGUCUAGAUAUUCUUGAACCUCUGGGCAGUGUUCCACCUUCCACACUCCAAUCCAUCCAUCAUUCAAUACCACUUAUGCUAGAUAAACUGGCUUGCCAUAGUUUAUUAUCAUGUUGUCCUCACAGACUAGUAUUCAAGGAGCCUCCCCUGACCACUUCCUUGGGACUCUUGGAAGUAAACAGAGAAACAGUUUAAAUGAAUGGUAAAAACCCAUGAAAUACAGUGAUUGUUUUUUUAGGGGUGGGGGGAGAGUAAAUAAUCAUAUGUCUUCAGUUGAGAGAAUCAUAAGGAUUUCUAGCACAUGAAUACACAUUCACAGCCCAAAAACAGAAGACAACUAAAAAAUCUCAGCAGAGGGACGUUUCCUCCUCAUUCCAUAGGAGGGUGGGGAUCUAUGGCACUCCAUUUUAAUGAUCAUCCCCAAAUUCCAUUUCUGUGCCCAACACAGUAAAGCAUUUCCAAGUACAGAGUGUCAGACAGGUGAACAACAACGAACAGCCUCUGUCAAAAUAGUUUGAAGCAUGCAAGAUGUAGAUUAUUGAGUACAGUACUUGAAAAAUUCUAAAUUAUGACAGUCCUCAAUGACAGCUCUGUGACCUGUCUCAUGUUAGGUACCUUUCUGGGUUUCUGCCCCUGAAAUUGAAAUAGUUCUACCAACUUCAUAAUUCCGUGAUUCUGUGAUUCGAUCAUUCUGACCUGUAUGUGGGAGAACUUGUUUAAAUUUUCUCCCCUUUAGAAUCCAACAAAUGAAUGCUAAAUUUGAACUCUAGGUUUCAGAGUAUACUUUAACAUAUUAAGAAAUUAUAACGAUUUCUAACAAGACUUGUGUACUACCUUGUCAACUACCAUUUUGCCUGUCGUAGUUUUGUCACGAUGUGGUUUUCUAUUUGCUUAAAUUUUACAAUCUGUGAUCUCUAUGUAUGUAUGUAUGGUUGAGUUUAGUUCCUUGAAACCAAAGCGUUAAAUAUCAGUAAGGGCUAUAUCAAGAACUUUAAAAAAAAGAAGUGUGGUUAAUAUAAAUUCCAUCUUCCACAGAAGAUCAUGACUUUCAGAAUAUGAACUCGUGAACAACCGAGGGAAAAGAUUCUUUUCUGCUUUAUAACUAACUUUAUUAUUUUAUUCUCUUGAGAAUUCCCUAUCGAACUUGCCAAUGAGGGUUUUAUCUAACAUGGCACUUUUCUGGAAUGUCACCAUCACUGCCCCCAGUUAGGGAGAGAUUACUAUAACAAAUAGUGAAAACACUCACAUAGAUUCUCAUGAAUCAUGUUUUAAUUGAGAGCUAGCCAAAGAGGAAGGGUGGAGAGGUAAGGACAUAGAUUUAUCUCUGCUUGUGUGUUCAUUUGUACUUUUAUUAAGAGAAAAAACAUUUUCCUCUUUUUUAAAUAAAAUCUCAUCCUCUAGGAAGUAAAUUCAGGAGUAAGACGCUCCACACCUGUUUUGCAUAGUCCAAUUGAUUGCUAAUUUCAUUGUCUUUUGACAUGCUGGGAGGUAUGUUAAUUUGGAACACAUCUCUCUCAUAGAAGUAACAAUUAACACAGGUAAGAUGCAUCUUUUACCUUGAUAAAGACACCUGCUCCAGUGUUAUAGAAAUAGUUAGGGAAGGUCUAGAUAUAUAUAUCUAGAAAGAUAUAAUUUCAAGGAAUCAUGCUGUCUCAGGAUUGAAAGGAAUAUUAAAGUCAGUGAAUGUUCAACUGAAGGCGGUGUGGAACUGUAGAAAGAAUGUAUGCUAUGGGAUUAGAGGACCUGGAUCAAAUCACAGCUUUGCAACUUAGUAGCUGUGUGUUUGGGGUAGUUUAUUUAACCUCUCUGAGCCUCGGUUUUCUCACCUAUAAAAUGGGGAUAGUGACUACAUUACGGAGUUGGUGAAAGGAUUGAAGAUAAUGUAUGUGAAGGACCUGGGACAGACAUAAUAAGCAUUUAGUAAAUGAUUGUGGUGGUUGUGAUCGUAAGUGUCCCACCAACUGGUCAUUAAGCUUAUUUGAACAUUCCCAGUGACACGGAAUUCACCAACUGUUCAGGUAGCCCAUCUCAUGUUUGGAGAACUCUUCAGUGUUAGUUCUUCCUUUUACUGAGCCUAAAUCUUUUCCCCUAGAACUUUUUCUAUGGUUCUGAUUCUUGCCGUUGGGGCUGCACAGAUUAAGUGUGUAAAUCAAUUAAGCAUGUAAUCUAGAACGGUAUAUAUGCUUUAAGAGUGGUGUGACCAGUGUGGAUACUAGAGAUUUAUCAACACAGUUUAGGAUCAAACUAGCUUCCUUUUCCUGAAACCCACCCUUUUAAUACCUAUUGAAUUUGCUAUUAAUUAAAGCCUGUUUGUCUUUUGUACUAGAGCUGGAGUCAAAGCUUGAGUCCUGCGUGCUGUACCUGUCACAGUUUUGAGGGAGAGACUUAAGUGCAGAACCUUACAAUUAAAUCUUUAUCAUAUUAAUUAAUAAACUGGUAAAAUUCCAUUUGAGUCAUACAAAUAUAAUUUGAGUAUUAAAUCAUAUAUAAUGUGGCAUACCUGUAAGGUCAUAUAGUUAUAAAUGGAUAAGAACAUAGUGCACUUUAUUUAACAAACACCGAUACGGUAUUUAAUAUGUGCCAAGCACUGUUCUAAGUGCUUUUCAUAUAUUAACUCAUUUAAUUCUCAGUCAUAAUAACCCUAUGUGGUAAGUAUUAUUAUCUUCAGAUAAGGAAACUGAGGCACAGAGAGAUUAAGUAAUUUAUCCAGGUCAAAUAGCUAGUAAGUAGCAGAGUUAGAAUUUGAACCAGCAUGUUUAGUUCGAGAACCUGUGUUCAUACUCAUGCCCUGUUCCCAAAUUUGUUGAAAUUUAGAAAAAUUGUUACAUGGAUUGUUAGGGCUCCUUAAAAGCAAGAAAAACAUGACAAAUUAAUACUGCUGGAUUUACGACCUACUUUAUAAAAGCAUUAUUAGAGAAUAUCUUUUGAGUGCUAUGGAUUUAUGAGAAUAUAAAAUGUUGACUAGAAGCAAUAUCUAGCUCCAUUCUAAGCAGGACUAGGCUUCUAAUGGUUCAUUUUAUAUUUCAACUAUAUAAUUGAGAAGGAAUUGAUGAAUGCCUCUGAAUUUUUAUCUUCUCAUAUGUACUUUUUCUGAUAAAAAUUGUUUUCAAAUGUUAAGACAGCAGUACAUCAUAUUACAGUUUUAUUUUUAAAUUAACAUACAGUAAAGUUGAUUGUGUGUGCGUACCUGCAUGUGUGUACAGUUCUAUGAAUUUAAUACGAUAGAUUCAUAUAACCACAGUCAAGAUAUAUAACAGUUCCAUUAUCCUAAGAAACUCCCUUGUAUUACCCCUUUGUAGUUACCUCCUCAACCCUUGGCAACCAUGGAUCUAAUCUCCAUCACUGUAGUUUUAUCUUUAUGAGAAUGUCAUAUAUAAAUUAAAUCCUACAGUAUAUAACUUUUUGAGACUGGCUUCUUUUACUUAACAUGCCUUUGAGAUUCAUCUGAGAUUUGCAUAUGUCAGUAGUUCAUUCAUUUUCAUUGCUGAGUAGUAUUCCAUUGUAGAGA